GACGAACGCUGGCGGCGCGCUUAACACAUGCAAGUCGAACGGAAAGGCCUGCUUUCCCUUGUGGAUUGCGGGUACUCGAGUGGCGAACGGGUGAGUAACACGUGAGUGAUCUGCCCCCAACUUGGGUAUAAGCCUGGGAAACUGGGUCUAAUUCCCGAUAGGACUGCAGGGUGGUGCCUGUGGUGGAAAACGAUUUUCUAGUGGUUGGGGAUGAGCUCGCGGCGUAUCAGCUUGUUGGUGGGGUAAUGGCCUACCAAGGCGGCGACGGGUAGCCGGCCUGGGAGGGUGGACGGCCACAUUGGGACUGAGAUACGGCCCAGACUCCUACGGGAGGCAGCAGUGGGGAAUAUUGCACAAUGGGCGGAAGCCUGAUGCAGCGACGCCGCGUGGGGGAUGACGGCCUUCGGGUUGUAAACUCCUUUCGACCGCGAGGAAGCCACCUGGUUGGAAGGGUGGUGACGGUAGUGGUAGAAGAAGCACCGGCUAACUACGUG
Molecule: ribosomal RNA, 494 nt
Filed under: uncultured bacterium
Lineage: Bacteria
Description: partial 16S ribosomal RNA
Rfam family: Bacterial small subunit ribosomal RNA
Source: RNAcentral